Molecule: ribosomal RNA, 1161 nt
Filed under: Parcubacteria group bacterium CG_4_9_14_0_2_um_filter_41_8
Lineage: Bacteria
Description: bacterial LSU rRNA
Rfam family: Bacterial large subunit ribosomal RNA
Source: RNAcentral
CCCGCAGCAAUGUGGGCCGCAGCUAAAGAUUUCAAGCGACUGUUUACCAAAAACACAGGUCCCUGCUAAAGCGCAAGCUGAUGUAUAGGGACUGAUGCCUGGCCAGUGUCCGAACGUUAAGGGGAGGGGUUCACGCCCUGAACCGAAGCGCGGAUGAACGCCAGCAGUAACUAUAACUGUUCUAAGGUAGCGAAAUUCCUUGUCGGGUAAGUUCCGACCUGCACGAAUGGCAUAACGACUUGAAAACUGUCUCAACGAGGGACUUGGCGAAAUUGCGAGAAGAGUGAAGAUGCUCUUAACCCAUGGUUAGACGAAAAGACCCCGUGAAGCUUUACUAUAGCUUGAUAUUGGUAUAUUGAUUUUUGUGUUUAGAAUAGGUGGGAGACUCUGAAGCUAGCGCGCUAGCGCUGGUGGAGUCGCCAGUGAAAUACCACCCUCAAAGUUCGGUAUAUCUAACACUCGACCGUUAGCCGGUCAGUGGACAGUAUCUGGUGGGUAGUUUGACUGGGGCGGUGGCCUCCUAAAAGAUAACGGAGGCGUUUACAAAGGUCGGCUAGCGCUGGAUGGAAAUCAGCGCGAUAGGGCAAACCCAUAAGCCGGCUUUACUGCAAGGGCGACCACCCGAGCAGUUGCGAAAGCAGAAGUUAGUGAUCCGACCGUAAAAGUUUGUAAUUUAUUACAAAUCCGAUAUAGGACGGCGGAAGCUCAACGGAUAAAAGUUACUCCGGGGAUAACAGGCUGAUCUCCUCCAAGAGUCCACAUCGACGAGGAGGUUUGGCACCUCGAUGUCGGCUCAUCGCAUCCUGGGGCUGAAGAAGGUCCCAAGGGUCCGGCUGUUCGCCGGUUAAAGCGGUACGCGAGCUGGGUUCAGAACGUCGUAAGACAGUUCGGUCUCCUAUCUACUAUGGGCGUUGAAUUUUGAAGGAGCUCCACUCUAGUACGAGAGGACCGAGUGGAACGCAUCUCUUGUGUACCGGCUGUGACACCAGUUGCAUUGCCGGGUAGCGACAUGCGGCAGUGAUAAGCGCUGAAAGCAUCUAAGCGCGAAGCACUUCCCAAGAUAAGAAUUCGUUAUAGGGCGGUCGGAGAUGACGACCUUGAUAGGCUCUAGGUGUAAGCAUAGCAAUAUGUUCAGCCAAGGAGUACUAAUAGCCCGAGUGC